CGAUUUCGUCCAGGGCAGCGAGGCCCUCGCUCGGUUCCGCAUUUUAUCCACGGGUCAGGGAACGAGCCCGCGCGGCCCGUUCGCUCCGCUCUCACCCGCCUCGCACGUCCUCCUCUCCCCCUCGCGCCCCUCCCAUCGCCGCCGCCAGCUCCCAAUCCCGUCGCCCCCUCCUCCUCCACAAUCCCCUGCAGCGCCUCCUCCUCCAAUCCUCCCGCUCAUCCUCCCCCAAUCUUCUUCCAAUGGCAGCCGGCCACCAGCCCAGGAAGCUCCUCCUCUAGGGCAGGGACGGCGAGCUCCUCCUCUACGGCGCUGGGAAGGAGGAGCACGACCUCGAGCCCGCCACUAAGCAUCGUGACGUGGCCGGCGGAUUCCAAAGGCAUGCCUCCUCUCUCUCCCCAAUCAGCCGCCUCUCUCGCGCCCUCACCACCCUCGCGCCGCCUCUCCUCCUCUUCUGCGUGCAGCAGUCCGUUGGUGAGACUUAGAUUUGGGGCGUAUUCAAGGAGAAGUGGCCGGCUCCGUUUUGGCCGGAUGAACGACGACCUGCAGCUCAAGACGUUGGCCAGCCCUCCUCUGCUUCUUUUCAAGGAUCUACAGGUUUUUCCUCUCCCCUUUCUCUCUCCGAUACACUGAUUUGGGGCGUAUUCAAGGAGAAGUGGUUGGCUCCGUUUUGGCCGGACGAACGACGACCUGCAGCUCAAGACAUUGGCCAGCCCUCCUCUGCUUCUUCUUUUCAAGGAUCUACAGGUGGCCAGUCAUUAUUUGGAAUUGUUACUGCCGAUGUUGUUAUCAUAGCUGUGUAAACCAUAGUUGUUGUGUGUAUUUAAUCUUUCAAGGAGAAUGAUGCAGUUGUUGCGUGUAUAUCGGGUGAUGGAAGUUUCCAUGUUUCACUAUUUUGAUAAGAAUUUCGUUAAGUAACAUGACUUAUGGUCUGGACAAUCGAGGGAAUGGGCAUAUAAAAUACAAUAUGUAGCUUGGCCUUGAUGCUUCAAACUAGAGGGACAUGUAAUUUUGUUUUGCAACUGCAAAGCUUCAACCAAGUUUGCGUGACAUGGUCUGGUAUGUUCCUUUCUCAACCCUGCUAAGAUCACAUCUACUAUUUAUGAUCUUUUUAUACCAGCACAACAUUUUUUACAGAUAGACAUUGUUGAUGUGAUAAUUAUUAACGAUAUUACGGGCUAGGCUUUGCGCCAACACUGAUGUAUAUUUGGAAUUCUGGGUGGAAGUUAAGGUUCUAUUUCUAUUCUUUGAUUAUAAGUAUGAUCCUGCCACAAGAGGGGGACCACGCUGAAUUUCACAAUCGUCAUGUAGGUCAGGCCAUGCUUCAGCACCUACCCCUUUUCUUUUAUAGUUCAUACUUAUCCUUUAUUAGAUCUAUAAAGUAUAGUGCUGCAUAAGUUACUCCACUUAUCUGGUUACCGUCCUCCUUUGAAAAACUGAUUGAUGCUCCCCGAGACAUUUUUUGUUUCAGCACAUAUGCCUCGGUUCAUAUGUGCAUUAUUUUUUCCUUGGUGUUUUGAGAUCCUGCGGGAUGGUGGCGAGGAGUUUCAAGGUGCACGCGAGCUUCUUCUUCUGUUAUUGAUGCCACCUGCCAUGUAUUCCAGAGUAAAUAUCACUACAUGCUUGUGCUACCUAUCACAACUCUGCACAUGUUUACUUCCUUCCUUUUCAUCUUGAAGCAACCUCCAGUAACAAAACAAGGAGGUGCAUCAUCAUUUGUUAUCUGUUUUCUUAGCUUUCUUCAUUCUUUAUUGCCAUAUGUAUCUCACCUGGCACAGUGAAGAUGGUGUUGUGUUGCUUUGUACAUGUGAGCAACAUAUUGCAGAAAGGUUUUCUGCACGUGAGGACAUGGCCCAUUUAUACAAGCAUCAAUGGUUACAAGAAAAUGGGAUGUAUAAGAGUUGUCUGGUAUGCAUACCUGCACUAAUGCUUGACAAGCCAGGUGCUUCGGCAGCUGCUCAUUUAAAAGGAUCCAAUCGCCCCCCUUGCGGCCAUAAGCAUGAUGGAGUGAAGCAACCAACUUGGCUUCUUGUUUUGGAAAUCGUGACCGGUGUUCUGGUGUUCUGCUGCUUGGUUUUGUGAUCACUAGUGCAAUCACUGCUUCCAGAAAAGUUCGCUGAAGUUAAGUCUCCAGGAACUUCAAGUGGCAUGUGAGGACUUCAGCAACAUUAUUGUCUCAACUCCAGAGACUAUAGUCUACAAAGCAGUAUUGUCUCAACUCCAGGAACUUGAAGUGUUAAUUUGAAUAUGCAAAGUUAUCCUGGUUCUUAGUGUGGUAAAUCUAAUAUUGUCCUUUUGUCAACAUUCUGGCAGUAUAAAUGCAUAUGCAGGUUUCUCGCUGAGAUAUCGAAGAGAUAACACGACAUUGUUGUAUUGUUAGUUUCAUGGACGUUUGUGGCAAGCUAAUUCUGUCCCACCAUGGAAGCUCACUUCCGUGUGGAAAUUGUUUGAUAUUUAGUGUUGUCUAAACUAAGCGGUAUGAUUGGAUGGUAUUUGAUGAUGAAUGCUACUCCAAAGAAAGGCAUCUCAUUUGUUUGGAGGAGUAUUCUCAAAGGCAUGAAUUUGCUGAAAAUAGGAUUCAUCUGCCGAGUGGGCAAUGGU
Non-coding RNA from Lolium perenne, 2598 nucleotides. The record is from RefSeq and is a predicted model, not a curated record. Lineage: Eukaryota; Viridiplantae; Streptophyta; Magnoliopsida; Poales; Poaceae.